CUGUGCCUGCUGGAGGUCUCUCCACCCAACUGGAUUUUGUGCAGGUUUAGAAGAUGCUUGUUCAGCCAGAAAUAUGAGCACAAUCAACCACAGUUCAGAAAAUCCGAAAUUGUGACAGAAAUUUCCACCAUAAACCCUCUCUGCACAGCACUCACUGUGUUGGACUUAAAAGCAGAACUGUGAAAUCAGGCCCACUUCCCACGAGGGAUGGGGAGAAAGAGCUGGCAUGGGCUCCU
Melospiza melodia melodia is the source of this 236-nucleotide long non-coding RNA. RefSeq lists it as uncharacterized. The transcript has 3 exons. Lineage: Eukaryota; Metazoa; Chordata; Aves; Passeriformes; Passerellidae. The record is from RefSeq and is a predicted model, not a curated record.